Molecule: ribosomal RNA, 430 nt
Filed under: Pseudomonadota bacterium
Lineage: Bacteria; Pseudomonadati; Pseudomonadota
Description: Proteobacteria bacterium partial 16S ribosomal RNA
Rfam family: Bacterial small subunit ribosomal RNA
Source: RNAcentral
UGGGGAAUAUUGGACAAUGGGGGGAACCCUGAUCCAGCCAUGCCGCGUGUGUGAAGAAGGCCUUAUGGUUGUAAAGCACUUUAAGCGAGGAGGAGGGUACUGGUAUUAAUACUACCAGGUACUGGACGUUACUCGCAGAAUAAGCACCUGCUAACUCUGUGCCAGCAGCCGCGGUAAUACAGAGGGUGCGAGCGUUAAUCGGAUUUACUGGGCGUAAAGCGUGCGUAGGCGGCUAAUUGAGUCGGAUGUGAAAUCCCCGAGCUUAACUUGGGGAUUGCAGUCGAUACUGGUUAGCUAGAGUAUGGGAGAGGAUGGUAGAAUUCCAGGUGUAGCGGUGAAAUGCGUAGAGAUCUGGAGGAAUACCGAUGGCGAAGGCAGCCAUCUGGCCUAACACUGACGCUGAGGUACGAAAGCAUGGGGAGCAAACAGG